ACUGCCAUGUUGAAAAACCCAGGGGCCCGUUCUUAGUAUGUCACUAACUCAGUUAGCUGGAUUUGAUUGUUGACGAUUUGGCAUGAUCUUGGAUUAUUUGGU
This is a long non-coding RNA of Sinocyclocheilus grahami, 102 nucleotides long. RefSeq lists it as uncharacterized. The transcript has 3 exons. The record is from RefSeq and is a predicted model, not a curated record. Lineage: Eukaryota; Metazoa; Chordata; Actinopteri; Cypriniformes; Cyprinidae.